Capsicum annuum is the source of this 1742-nucleotide long non-coding RNA. RefSeq lists it as uncharacterized. The transcript is spliced from 2 exons. Lineage: Eukaryota; Viridiplantae; Streptophyta; Magnoliopsida; Solanales; Solanaceae. The record is from RefSeq and is a predicted model, not a curated record.
GAUAAACCUUAAGUCAGGAGUCCAAAAGAAGUUGUAUAGAUAGGAUUUUUGAAAUUUUAUUUAUGUUAUAACUUGUAAUUUUCUUUUUUUUGAUGUAAUGACAGACCCGCGGACUGGAACCUUAAAAGGGCGUCACUCGACUCUCCAACUCAGUAUAUUCUCUCUCCAUCCAACCCUUUGAGAUACAUGUGACUUGAUUUCUUCAUAACUUGGGUAAGUAGGAUAUCCUAAGUCAAGACUUGGUUGCCCUUCUUCCUUCUAUUUCUUUCAUUGAAUAAUGAUUUUGUCAAAAUUUGAUCUCGUUGUCUACUUUUUUGUCUGAAAACACUUUGUAUUUACACCCAAAAAGGGGCAUGAUGUAGAUAACUAAUUUUGUCCUUCCCAAAACCCAAUUCAUCUAUUUUUACCUUACGUUACAUACACCCUCACCAAUGUGAUUACACCCCACAAAAUUACAAAAAAAAUUAAUAACCCUUAACAAAUCUCUAAUAAAUUUUAUCUUAUUUUAAUCAUCCCAACAACAUACCCUUAUCUCAUCCACUACCCCACACCCUACCCAUGUGACCCCCUACCUACUCUUUUAAUCACGUGCCUCACAUAUACAUACACCAACACAAUACACAAAAUAGGGGCCCUACGGGAAUCACUAUUCUACACUCACCUUCCAUAUAUACUCAAUCACACUACACAGCAAAGGGAGAGAGAACACACUCAGAAAAAAGGCCCGGCCCACAGGAAAUAUUUGGGACAACUUCUAUUUCCAAAUUGAGAACAAAAUAGAUAGAUACUCUCCAAUUUUUUUUAUAUAGAUCACAUACACACUCUACACACAGAGGGCUCCCCAUAUUUCUCCAUUAAAGCACAAGAUUCUCACACCUUCUCUAAUGGAAUUCCACUUACACACACACCAUCAACACACACACAUCACGGAAAGACACACAACAACACACCAAGCUAAAAAAUUGAGAAAAUCAGUAAAGAAUAAAGAGAGAGGGGCGAUCAAAAAACAGAGCACCAAUAAGGGAUGAGAAUAUAAAAAUAGAGGGUUAGUCGUGUUUAGACGAACAGAGGGAGGAAAAAGAGAGAAACAGAGAAAACAUGCAAACUAGAUUUUUCUGGUGAGUCUUUGCCAGAAAACUUCACUGCUGCCAAUUUCUUCAUUUGAUUUUUUUUGUUGUUGAGGUUUUUGGAGCUCCGGCAAAGUAAAUAGCAGUAACCCGUCCCUGAGUCAUUUCAAAAUCCAUCAAAAACGUCAGUAAACGACCCUAAAAACAUCUACAGAUCUCAUUUUUGAUCAUUUGCUAUCUGAUUUAUUUGUUUCAGUCGGGUGUAUCGAGUUGGAUCAAUUUGGUUAUUCCAGAUUCUUGGAUUUGUUUUGGGUUGGAUUUGAGUUUGAUCAUCGAGGUUCCCAAUGCGGAAUCUGUUUAAUUGAAUAACAUACUUUGAAAGCCCCAAUUUCAGGGUUUGAGGCUCAGUCCAGGGGUCCCGCCAAAUCGUAGAAUCUUUAGACUGAAGUGUGCAGUUGGUGAGCCUUCUUUAUUUCGAAAGGCCUGUUGCUAAAGUAUUGUUUUGUAUUUUAGUUUUGGGUCCGACUGGGGGCCUUAUCCCAGUUAUAUACAAGGUAUUAUAUUCUGAUGUAUAAGAGAUUUUGUAGAUUGAGAUGGAUAUUGUCUAGAUGUUUAUUGAUUUCAUUCUGUAUUGUAAAAUUGAACUUAGAGUAUGACCAUGAUUCCGUCUGUUUA